CAGUAGCCGCGGUAAUACGUAGGGUGCGAGCGUUAAUCGGAAUUACUGGGCGUAAAGCGUGCGCAGGCGGUUCGUUAAGACAGAUGUGAAAUCCCCGGGCUUAACCUGGGAACUGCAUUUGUGACUGACGGGCUAGAGUAUGGGAGAGGGGGGUAGAAUUCCACGUGUAGCAGUGAAAUGCGUAGAGAUGUGGAGGAAUACCGAUGGCGAAGGCAGCCCCCUGGGCCAAUACUGACGCUCAUGCACGAAAGCGUGGGGAGCAAACAGGAUUAGAUACCCCAGUAGUCCCUGUCUCUUAUAC
RNAcentral lists this ribosomal RNA (301 nucleotides) under uncultured bacterium. Its description in RNAcentral is "partial 16S ribosomal RNA". It matches the Rfam family "Bacterial small subunit ribosomal RNA", at positions 509 to 807 of the family's 1533-position model. The record is from RNAcentral.